Molecule: ribosomal RNA, 253 nt
Filed under: uncultured bacterium
Lineage: Bacteria
Description: partial 16S ribosomal RNA
Rfam family: Bacterial small subunit ribosomal RNA
Source: RNAcentral
UACGGGGGGGGCAAGCGUUGUUCGGAAUUACUGGGCGUAAAGGGCUCGUAGGUGGCCCCAUAAGUCAGACGUGAAAUCCCUCGGCUCAACCGAGGAACUGCGUCUGAGACUGUGGGGCUUGAAUCCGGGAGAGGGAUGCGGAAUUCCAGGUGUAGCGGUGAAAUGCGUAGAUAUCUGGAGGAACACCGGUGGCGAAGGCGGCAUCCUGGACCGGUAUUGACGCUGAGGAGCGAAAGCGUGGGGAGCGAACAGG